AGAGUUUGAUCCUGGCUCAGGACGAACGCUGGCGGCGUGCCUAAUACAUGCAAGUCGAGCGGACAGAUGGGAGCUUGCUCCCUGAUGUUAGCGGCGGACGGGUGAGUAACACGUGGGUAACCUGCCUGUAAGACUGGGAUAACUCCGGGAAACCGGGGCUAAUACCGGAUGGUUGUUUGAACCGCAUGGUUCAAACAUAAAAGGUGGCUUCGGCUACCACUUACAGAUGGACCCGCGGCGCAUUAGCUAGUUGGUGAGGUAACGGCUCACCAAGGCGACGAUGCGUAGCCGACCUGAGAGGGUGAUCGGCCACACUGGGACUGAGACACGGCCCAGACUCCUACGGGAGGCAGCAGUAGGGAAUCUUCCGCAAUGGACGAAAGUCUGACGGAGCAACGCCGCGUGAGUGAUGAAGGUUUUCGGAUCGUAAAGCUCUGUUGUUAGGGAAGAACAAGUGCCGUUCGAAUAGGGCGGUACCUUGACGGUACCUAACCAGAAAGCCACGGCUAACUACGUGCCAGCAGCCGCGGUAAUACGUAGGUGGCAAGCGUUGUCCGGAAUUAUUGGGCGUAAAGGGCUCGCAGGCGGUUUCUUAAGUCUGAUGUGAAAGCCCCCGGCUCAACCGGGGAGGGUCAUUGGAAACUGGGGAACUUGAGUGCAGAAGAGGAGAGUGGAAUUCCACGUGUAGCGGUGAAAUGCGUAGAGAUGUGGAGGAACACCAGUGGCGAAGGCGACUCUCUGGUCUGUAACUGACGCUGAGGAGCGAAAGCGUGGGGAGCGAACAGGAUUAGAUACCCUGGUAGUCCACGCCGUAAACGAUGAGUGCUAAGUGUUAGGGGGUUUCCGCCCCUUAGUGCUGCAGCUAACGCAUUAAGCACUCCGCCUGGGGAGUACGGUCGCAAGACUGAAACUCAAAGGAAUUGACGGGGGCCCGCACAAGCGGUGGAGCAUGUGGUUUAAUUCGAAGCAACGCGAAGAACCUUACCAGGUCUUGACAUCCUCUGACAAUCCUAGAGAUAGGACGUCCCCUUCGGGGGCAGAGUGACAGGUGGUGCAUGGUUGUCGUCAGCUCGUGUCGUGAGAUGUUGGGUUAAGUCCCGCAACGAGCGCAACCCUUAUCCUUUGUUGCCAGCGGUCCGGCCGGGAACUCAAAGGAGACUGCCAGUGAUAAACUGGAGGAAGGUGGGGAUGACGUCAAGUCAUCAUGCCCCUUACGACCAGGGCUACACACGUGCUGCAAUGGCGCAUACAAAGAGAAGCGACCUCGCGAGAGCAAGCGGACCUC
This 1285-nucleotide ribosomal RNA is filed under the name metagenome. RNAcentral describes it as "bacterial SSU rRNA". It matches the Rfam family "Bacterial small subunit ribosomal RNA", at positions 8 to 1275 of the family's 1533-position model. The record is from RNAcentral.